This 208-nucleotide ribosomal RNA is filed under the name cf. Marchandiomyces sp. MYA-1121. RNAcentral describes it as "cf. Marchandiomyces MYA-1121 partial small subunit ribosomal RNA". It matches the Rfam family "Eukaryotic small subunit ribosomal RNA", at positions 1556 to 1760 of the family's 1831-position model. Lineage: Eukaryota; Fungi; Basidiomycota; Agaricomycetes; Corticiales; Corticiaceae. The record is from RNAcentral.
AAAGGUCUGGGUAAUCUUGUGNAACCUUGUCGUGCUGGGGAUAGAGCAAUGCRAUUAYUGCUCUUCUUCGWGGAAUACNUAGUAAGCGCAAGUCMUCAGCUUGCGUCGAUUACGUCCCUGCCCUUKGUACACACCGCCCGUCGCUACUACCGAUUGAAUGSCUUAGUGAGGUCUCCGGAUUGUACUUUGGGGAGCCGGCAACGGCAUA